Long non-coding RNA from Equus caballus (horse), 1151 nucleotides. RefSeq lists it as uncharacterized. The record is from RefSeq and is a predicted model, not a curated record. NCBI's taxonomy places the organism in Eukaryota, Metazoa, Chordata, Mammalia, Perissodactyla, Equidae.
CCCAGCUCUCCUUAGUCUAUGAGAAUGCCAGAGGCCACAUCUGGGGCGGAGACCCUUCUAUCUCUUCUGAGUAGCAGCAUGCUACCCACAGAAGGCUGGGAUCCCAGCCUCAGACUCCAGCUUCUCACACCAGACCAGGGUCGCUGCCCACUACACCCAUUUGGGGGGCCACUGCAGUAGAACGCUGUGUCUGACUUGGUCCCUGGGUGUGGUUGCUGCAUCUUGCUCAUCUCCCCAUGGCUAAUGCUUAACACAAAUCCUGGACUGUGACUUGAAAACGGACACCUUCUUCCUAAUAUAAUCCAGCCCACGAAAUAUUCCUCUGAGUCAGCAAUCUCUUGACCGAGGGGAACAUGCUACAGAUCCUGGGAAAGAGAGUGAAGGAAAUUAGCAAAUGGCAGCUUCCUGCACUUUGCCACAAACAAUAACAAAACCCGUCAAAGGAGCAGAAUAUGGCAGUCAAUAUGGAUUUUCUCAUUCCUGUCAAUCAAAGGGCUUUCAAACACAGGAGAUGCUCCCACUCUGUGCUCACUGUUGGUUUGGGUAGAAGGCCAGGGGGUCUCUCUAAAGAUGUUAAGCAUUUAACACAUGGUGCAGGAGGCCCUGCCUGUGUGCUUGCUAGGAGAGGGCCUAUCUCUCUCAAAUGUGUAGGAUCACUAGGAAUUUGCACAAGAACUUUUGUCUGCUGUGUUUGCUAAGGCACAGCACAAUACUGAUGAGGCAGUAGAUAAUUUACGGGGUUUUUUAAAAAAACAAAUUCUUCUGAGUAGAGUAUAAAUUAUAGUAGUUUAACGUGUCCAUAAUAUAGAACACGCUGCAUGUGUGGAGAAGAGGAGUAAGUUAGGGAAAAUAGAAACUGCUUUAUUAAGACGGAAUUUCACUGUAUUUUACAGCAUAAUACUAAUUCCCAACAACCAGGAUAGAUUCUUUUCAUAGUGAACAAAGUUCAUAAGAAAACUAUGUGAAUAUUCUCUGGAGACCCUAAAGACAGAGAGAAAUUGAAUAAAAAUAAAUCAGCUUGAAAAUCCAUGAAUGUUUCUGCAGAGUAUCAGGACAUCAGCAGUUGGGAAACUAACGCAUUCAAAUUAUUAUUACUACUUUGUAUUAGAGCAGCUAUUUAAUUGUCACCAAUGAGAGGAAAGUGGUGUAUU